AUGGGCUGCUUGGGGACCCAGGGAGCUCCCAAGGUCUUUCCUGCUGCUUCCUCUACCCCUGUAUUUCGUUCGGCUGUCUAGACUGACUCAGCUUCAGGCCCUCUGUGCAUGCCAUGCUUAAUAAGGUAAUAAAAAGGUAAGAUUAUAAAGAAGGAAGAGGCCUAUCAAGGAAAGAAGGCUCUUUAUUUGCUUUGCUGUCAUGGUAUCCUUCCCAUUCCACUGGCUUCCAGCACAUAUGUGGAAACUUUUUGGGAAAGUUCCCCAAAACUUUGGGGAACUGUGUUCCCCUGAAGUUUGGAGGGUGAGGAGUGAAAGAGGUUGAGAAGAAUGAGCUGGCUGGGUUGGACAUUCAGAGGUGACAAUGGCCAGAUCAACCUUGAUGGAGUCUUGUUCUGUCACCAGGCUGGAGUGCAGUGGUGCGAUCUCAGCUCACUACAACCUCCACCUCCUGGGUUCAAGUGAAUCCCCUGCCUCAGCCUCCCUAGUAGCUGGGACUACAGGCACACACCACCACACCUGGCUAAUUUUUUGUAUUUUUUAGUAGAGACGGGGUUUCACCAUGUUGGCCAGGAUGGUCUCAAUCUCUUGACCUCAUGAUCUGCCCACCCCACCCUCCCAAAGUUCUGGGAUUACAGGCCUGAGCCACUGCACCUGGCUGCUAGUUCUUAAGAGGGAGGUAUGAGACGUAUGUAUAGACUAAGUGAAAGGAAAAUAUCUUGGGCCCCCAAAAUCACUAAGCUAAAAGGAAAAUUCAAGCUGGAAACUGCUCAGAGCAAACCUGCUUCCCAUUCUAUUCAAAGUCAUCCCUCUGCUCACUGAGGUAAAUGCAUAUUCUGAUUGGCUCCUUUGUAAAAGCUAAUUAGAAACUCAAAAGAAUGCAACUAUUUGUCUCUCACCUACUUGUGACCUGGAAGACCCCUCCCUGCUUCAAGUUCUCCCCACCUUUUUGGACAAAACCAGUGUACUUCUUACUGUAUUGAUUAAUGUCUUGUGUCUCCCUAAAGUGUAUAAAACCAAGUUGUGCCCUGACCACCUUGGGCACAGGUCAUCAGGACUUCCUGAGGCUGUGUCAUGGG
Molecule: long non-coding RNA, 1076 nt
Filed under: Homo sapiens (human)
Lineage: Eukaryota; Metazoa; Chordata; Mammalia; Primates; Hominidae
Description: HSALNT0346107
Source: RNAcentral